GAUGAACGCUGGCGGCGUGCCUAAUACAUGCAAGUCGAGCGAACGGACGAGAAGCUUGCUUCUCUGAUGUUAGCGGCGGACGGGUGAGUAACACGUGGAUAACCUACCUAUAAGACUGGGAUAACUUCGGGAAACCGGAGCUAAUACCGGAUAAUAUUUUGAACCGCAUGGUUCAAAAGUGAAAGGCGGCCUUGCUGUCACUUAUAGAUGGAUCCGCGCUGCAUUAGCUAGUUGGUAAGGUAACGGCUUACCAAGGCAACGAUGCAUAGCCGACCUGAGAGGGUGAUCGGCCACACUGGAACUGAGACACGGUCCAGACUCCUACGGGAGGCAGCAGUAGGGAAUCUUCCGCAAUGGGCGAAAGCCCGACGGAGCAACGCCGCGUGAGUGAUGAAGGUCUUCGGAUCGUAAAACUCUGUUAUUAGGGAAGAACAUAUGUGUAAGUAACUGUGCACAUCUUGACGGUACCUAAUCAGAAAGCCACGGCUAACUACGUG
This 497-nucleotide ribosomal RNA is filed under the name uncultured bacterium. RNAcentral's name for it is "partial 16S ribosomal RNA". It matches the Rfam family "Bacterial small subunit ribosomal RNA", at positions 28 to 507 of the family's 1533-position model. The record is from RNAcentral.